ACAAGCGGUGGAGCAUGUGGUUUAAUUCGAAGCAACGCGAAGAACCUUACCAGGUCUUGACAUCCUCUGACAACUCUAGAGAUAGAGCGUUCCCCUUCGGGGGACAGAGUGACAGGUGGUGCAUGGUUGUCGUCAGCUCGUGUCGUGAGAUGUUGGGUUAAGUCCCGCAACGAGCGCAACCCUUGAUCUUAGUUGCCAGCAUUUAGUUGGGCACUCUAAGGUGACUGCCGGUGACAAACCGGAGGAAGGUGGGGAUGACGUCAAAUCAUCAUGCCCCUUAUGACCUGGGCUACACACGUGCUACAAUGGAUGGUACAAAGGGCUGCAAGACCGCGAGGUCAAGCCAAUCCCAUAAAACCAUUCUCAGUUCGGAUUGUAGGCUGCAACUCGCCUACAUGAAGCUGGAAUCGCUAGUAAUCGCGGAUCANCAUGCCGCGGU
Molecule: ribosomal RNA, 439 nt
Filed under: Priestia megaterium
Lineage: Bacteria; Bacillati; Bacillota; Bacilli; Caryophanales; Bacillaceae
Description: bacterial SSU rRNA
Rfam family: Bacterial small subunit ribosomal RNA
Source: RNAcentral